Molecule: ribosomal RNA, 610 nt
Filed under: Leptospira borgpetersenii serovar Ballum
Lineage: Bacteria; Pseudomonadati; Spirochaetota; Leptospiria; Leptospirales; Leptospiraceae
Description: partial 23S ribosomal RNA
Rfam family: Bacterial large subunit ribosomal RNA
Source: RNAcentral
UGUAGCAAGGUUAACCGUAUAGGGGAGCCGAAGGGAAACCGAGUCUUAAUUGGGCGUUAAGUUGCAGGGUAUAGACCCGAAACCCGGUGAUCUAGCCAUGGGCAGGUUGAAGGUUGGGUAACACUAACUGGAGGACCGAACCGACUAAUGUUGAAAAAUUAGCGGAUGACCUGUGGCUGGGGGUGAAAGGCCAAUCAAACCGGGAGAUAGCUGGUUCUCCCCGAAAGCUAUUUAGGUAGCGCCUCGUGAACUCAUCUCCGGGGGUAGAGCACUGUUUCGGCUAGGGGGCCAUCCCGGCUUACCAACCCGAUGCAAACUGCGAAUACCGGAGAAUGUUAUCACGGGAGACACACGGCGGGUGCUAACGUCCGUCGUGAAGAGGGAAACAACCCAGACCGCCAGCUAAGGUCCCAAAGUCAUGGUUAAGUGGGAAACGAUGUGGGAAGGCCCAGACAGCCAGGAUGUUGGCUUAGAAGCAGCCAUCAUUUAAAGAAAGCGUAAUAGCUCACUGGUCGAGUCGGCCUGCGCGGAAGAUGUAACGGGGCUAAACCAUGCACCGAAGCUGCGGCAGCGACACUAUGUGUUGUUGGGUAGGGGAGCGUUCUGUAAA